GCAGACCUUCCAUUGUACGAACUCCUCUUGGCCUCUGUAUAAGAUCUUCUUCUGUCAACAUUGCUGCAUCUUCUCUUUUCAUGGUUUUGAUCUGGUUUUGAGCAUUACCCAUGUGGUUAUUGAAGGUUUGCAAGCAGGUUGAGAUGAGUCCAGGAUGAGCUGCCCAUGUUCCAUCAUGCCCUGCUUUCACCUCUCGCAAUUUGUCCUUGCUCACUAGCUCUAAUGCCGCCUCGUUUGCUACUGGAUCGUCUCUGACUGGAAUCUGAGCUGCCUGUAAUUCAAUAACUGUUAAAUACUUUUUUUUUUCUUGUGUAUAAAUUACAAUGUAUAUACCUAUAUAUAUAUAUAUAUAUAUAUAUAUAUAUGAUAUACCAUUCCACCCAUGGCAUGAACACCGCGUCUAUGGCAGGUUCUGAUGACGAGAUCAGAGUAACUUUUCAUCAAGUGUUGGUUCAUUCCAACCAGGACUCUGUCUGGCAAAAUGCGAUCUGGGUGAGCCUGAAAAGUUUUCACAUAGCUGAAAAUAUAAUCCCAUCUUCCACAGUUUAAACCCACCGAGUGAUCUCUUAGCUCGUAAAGAAUUUCAUCCAUUUGGAAAACUGCAGGUAAUGUUUCGAUUAGAACAGUGGCUCUGAUGCUUCCUCUUUCUAUUCCUGCCAUCUUUUCUGCUCUCUCAAACACACAAUUCCAGAUCUUCGCUUCCCUGCCAAAUCAACUAAUUCAUUAUAUUGAAUUACAACACCAUGAAAAUUAGCUCCUAAUUGUUAUUACCUUGAAUGCUCCAUUUUAGGAAGAUAGAAGAAGGGUCCAUAGCCAGCACCUUGUGUCUGCCGGAAUUUUGCAUAGUUGUGGUAAAAGUAAAGGCCAAAAUCUACAAGACAACCAGUUGC
RNAcentral lists this long non-coding RNA (890 nucleotides) under Carica papaya (papaya). RNAcentral describes it as "long non-coding RNA (CPAP_LNC012514)". Lineage: Eukaryota; Viridiplantae; Streptophyta; Magnoliopsida; Brassicales; Caricaceae. The record is from RNAcentral.